Long non-coding RNA from Loxodonta africana (African savanna elephant), 4023 nucleotides. RefSeq lists it as uncharacterized. NCBI's taxonomy places the organism in Eukaryota, Metazoa, Chordata, Mammalia, Proboscidea, Elephantidae. The record is from RefSeq and is a predicted model, not a curated record. The transcript is spliced from 3 exons.
GUGGGCCCGUCGGGCUCCCGGCUCUGCAGGCCGAGACAUGCCGGCUCUGACCGUGGCGUCCCGGUACCAGCUGGCCCAGCGGAGGAAGGCGAGAGGGUGUUUUCCAGCAAAAGAUCAAAACAUUUCAACACCAAUAAGCUAAGGCUUACUCCCUAUUAAUCAGGAAAGUGCAAAUUAAGACCACUACAGAUACACAGGAACCUGGUAGAAGUGGUGUCUGGGAUACCUGGUCGUAGGGGUGCAGCCAGCCUCAGGAACCAGCGUGGCUUUACCUGGUGAAGUUGAGCACGCACAGACCCCAGGCCCCAACAGAAACAACGUGUCCAGAAAGGCCGCUGUCUCCUCCAAAGCCCUGAUCGCGACCAGGACCUUGCCCCUGAGGAGAAUGGCUACUCUGUGGGUUGAGAGACGUGAACGAGAAGACCCAUGACACUGCAGCCACAAUGACCACAAGGGGUCAGGAUCACAACACAGGGUAACCGAGAGCUGAAGGACUCGACUACAUUGACUUGAGAGGAAGUGUGCCCAGCAAUGGGAAUGAGCGAGCCACAGCUGCGUCAACAAGGAUGAAUCGUAAACAAUGCUGAGUGAAAAGUCACAAAAAUACACACUGUCUGAUUCCAUUUACAUCAAACACCAAACAGUAAUUAGGAAUGAACACAAAUUCAAAUGUAAAAGUUAAAACUCUAAAAGCAUUGUAGAAGCAGCAUAGGAGAACAUCUUUGCAGCCUGGGGGUACACAAAGACUUCUCAGGGGCCCCAAAGCACCGACUGUAGGAAGAAAAUACUGACAAACUAGACUUUAUCAAAAUUAGAAAGCUCUGCUUGGUAAAAACUACUGUUAGUGAGCAGGCAAGCCACAGCCUGGGGGAAAAACGCUGACAAAACAAGUACCCGGUGAAAGACUUGGAUCCACACUAUAUAAAAAGUUCCCACAGACUCAACAAUAACCCCAGCAGCUAUAGGCUUCUGGGGGCUUGUGGCAGGGCCAAGAGGGCUUGUUGGGGGCAGGGCGUGGUCGCAGGAGGCCCCUGCUGCACCCCUGUGAGUAGCAGUGAGCACAGCACUCCCCACCCCCAAUCACUUGAAUUUGUUUUCAGCUACAGUUGGGUCGUACAAAUUAAAGUGGCAUUAAAGGGCACACAGUGAAGUGUACUCUGCCCACAGCCACUUCAGCAUCGCCUUGUGUGACUCCAGAAGCAUUCCUUGCGUACAUCAGCAUGCGUAGACACCUGGCCCAGCCCUUCUUCAUCCCAGGGACACCUGGGUGCACUUCCGCAGCCACUACAGAUGAGGUCGCAGUGAUGGCUUUCCCCAGCCGUGACCUGGGUUGACCAAGCGUAAGCAGAGAAACACAUCCCGUCAGGUGGGGCUGGCCAUCAGCCUGUCCCCCCUGCCAACCCUGUCCUCACAGGACCGUGUGCUGUGGGUUUCUUGUCACUGCCAAAACCAUCACACAUUAGUGGCUUAAACAACGUGCGUUUAUUCUCUCUCGGUUGGGCAGACAGAAGUGGGUGAGGGUCUCACCUGCUGGAGGCAGGUGUGGCGGGCAGAGCCGGACCUGCAGGGUCGGAGGGAGGGUCUGAGUCCCUGCUCAGUCAGGUGGUGGAGGGAUUCAGCGCCUGUGGCUGUUGGGCUGAGGUCCCCGUUUUCUCACUGGCUGUCCCUUGAAGGCCGUGUUCAGCUUCUGGAUGUGGCCCCAUUCCUCAGCCUGGCCCUUCCUGCAUCUUCAAUCUAGCAGUGUAGCCAAGUCCUUGCUUCGUCUCUCCGACCUGCUGGGAUGAUCUCAGCUCCUCUCUCCAUCUCAGUACAUCCCCAUAGCCUCCUACCACGGGAGGAGCCGCAUGCCUGGCUCCCAGGACCAGGACACAGGUGUCUUGGGGAGUUAGCCUGCCAACUGUAUGUGUUUCUGCACCAGGGUGUUGGUGUCCCCUCCAGGUGUAAAGGUGCCCAGCGACCACAGCCAACUGAGAGGCCACUUGCCAAGCUGCCCUUCCACCCACGGUCCAUGUGCUCCUAGGUGAGACUACCCUGCAACUUUCCUUGUGGGGCCAUGUCUGUGAGCAUAUCUAAGGGGCAUCAGCGGGAGGUGAUCUGAGGUGAGAUGCCUCAAUGGGCAGCGAGCAGAGACUGGGUCUGGCACUGACGGGUCCCAUCCUGGUGACCUCACACGGGUAUAUUUAGAGCCAGGUCCCGCAGGGCAAGCACUACUGCCCAGGCACAGCCAGCCGGCGGCACAGAGUGUCCUUGUCUUUGGGUGGAUGUCUUCCUGCUGCCAGACGGGCAAGGAGGCAGAACACCUGGGCAAAGCAGGCGAGCACGUUGAAAAUGGCUGGAACUGGUGCAGGACAGCUGGGAGCCGUGGGGGUGAAGGUCAGGUAAUAGGCAGUGGAGCUAGGCAGCGACUACGUGCUCUUGUGCCCUUGUACUCGGGCAGAGCAGAGGCCUUCAGCUCUUAUGAUGUGUUUGGGGUGCUGGCACUGAGGAGUCGGGGGCUGUGGCUGCCUGGAAGUUCAGGAUCAGCUGGCCUGAUCCCCUGAGCUCUGCUCUCAGCAUCCAGGCCAGCAGGGCCUGGGACAGGAGAGACGUCCUGCCUUGCUUGUCUGGAUGGCCUUUUGCCUGCUUGAUGGUGAAACACGGAGGAGCGUGGGAGCACCAGCCUGGCAGUCCCAAUAUAUGCAGCUGCCCCCUUCCCCCGCCCCAGGACCAAAGCAGACCCCCCUGAGUACACUGGGAGGCUGCCCGGAGAAGGGUCUGGCUUGAGGCCCUCCCCCACCAGAGCCUCCCACAGCUUGCAGUCCGUGCAUGGGGCCUGCUGGGGUGGGGGUUCCUGGCAAUGCCACAUAGUGGAGGAGCCUUCCCCAGAGGCAUGGGCAGCACCAAGUGGGGCUGGGCCCCAGGGGACUGAGAUGGGGACGGCCCUCUGCCCUUCCACCACCCUUACGGGGAGGCCCUGGGGGCGCUCAAGGCACUGCAGGGAGGGCCCCACCCAGACCACUCAGGGCAGGCCAACUGUCAGGCUGAGGGCAGGACAGGUAGGUCAUGAAGAGGGCAGGGUAGGAAGCUUCAGCUGAAAGAAGGGGGACAGAAUACAGGGUGUGUGUCCACAAGCGAUGGGGUAGAGGGCAACUGACCUACCAAAUGGGGAAGUGGGCAAGGCUGGGGAAUGAAGGUGAGGAGCUGGCACCCUGCCUGCCCGGGUCCCCACAGACCACGGUCUCUGUACACUUCCGUCCCUCCGAUCCGGCUCUUUAUAACAGUGUGGCCCUUAGGGGGUUUCUAGUGGUUCUGCUGCCUUAGUCAGGCCCUGCCCCUCUGGACUUCUCCCCAGGACAUGUCCCAGUCAAAUAAACUUCUGGAAACCACAUGCCAAACAGCUUUCCUAAAGAAUAGGAAACACACCAGCCAGGUCUGAGCCUGCGGCCAGAUGGGCAUAAUGACUGGAGCACAGUUCUGCCUGCCCCACUCACUUAUGUCCAUCCACCCUGCUCUGCUGGAAGACAGGACGCAGGGAAAGGGUGACUGCUGCUCCAGCCCUGCCCAUCCCAGGAGGUCCUGGCCCCUGCCAACGACAACACUUGCAUAAAAAUCCAGGGUCCUGUUGGCCUCCGCCAAGCCCAGGAUCCCGAACCCAAGGAGCUGCUCCCUCUGAAAUCCCGGGACCAGGAGGCGGGCUGCACUGAGAAACCCUGCCCACAGCAACGCAAGUGAUGUGCCACCAAAACAAACCCCGCCUGAGCAAGUCCGCAGCUAACCCUCACCACAGGUCUCACACCUCUGCUUCCCAAGUCAGAUCAUCCGCCCAGAGCCUGGCCCCAGGGGCUGGGACAGACCCCAACACUGAAAGCAGCCCCCACAUAGGGGGAUUUCUGGGUCGGUCUGAAACAGGAACCGAGAGAUAGGGCUCUAAUGUCUGCAUAGACGUGCACUCUCACCGCCCCCUCCAUACCCAAAAGGCCCCCUGCAGAAAGCCCCACCUCCGGGAACUGACAGCAGGUGUGCAGAUGCACUGGGAAGGGGGAC